GCAUAUCAAUAAGCGGAGGAAAAGAAACCAACAGGGAUUGCCUCAGUAGCGGCGAGUGAAGCGGCAAGAGCCCAGAUUUGAAAUCGUGCUUUGCGGCACGAGUUGUAGAUUGCAGGUUGGAGUCUGUGUGGAAGGCGGUGUCCAAGUCCCUUGGAACAGGGCGCCCAGGAGGGUGAGAGCCCCGUGGGAUGCCGGCGGAAGCAGUGAGGCCCUUCUGACGAGUCGAGUUGUUUGGGAAUGCAGCUCCAAGCGGGUGGUAAAUUCCAUCUAAGGCUAAAUACUGGCGAGAGACCGAUAGCGAACAAGUACUGUGAAGGAAAGAUGAAAAGCACUUUGAAAAGAGAGUGAAACAGCACGUGAAAUUGUUGAAAGGGAAGGGUAUUGCGCCCGACAUGGGGAUUGCGCACCGCUGCCUCUCGUGGGCGGCGCUCUGGGCUUUCCCUGGGCCAGCAUCGGUUCUUGCUGCAGGAGAAGGGGUUCUGGAACGUGGCUCUUCGGAGUGUUAUAGCCAGGGCCAGAUGCUGCGUGCGGGGACCGAGGACUGCGGCCGUGUAGGUCACGGAUGCUGGCAGAACGGCGCAACACCGCCCGUCUU
RNAcentral lists this ribosomal RNA (595 nucleotides) under Pichia kudriavzevii. RNAcentral's name for it is "eukaryotic LSU rRNA". It matches the Rfam family "Eukaryotic large subunit ribosomal RNA", at positions 38 to 655 of the family's 3401-position model. Lineage: Eukaryota; Fungi; Ascomycota; Pichiomycetes; Pichiales; Pichiaceae. The record is from RNAcentral.